This 497-nucleotide ribosomal RNA is filed under the name uncultured bacterium. RNAcentral describes it as "partial 16S ribosomal RNA". It matches the Rfam family "Bacterial small subunit ribosomal RNA", at positions 28 to 507 of the family's 1533-position model. The record is from RNAcentral.
GAUGAACGCUGGCGGCGUGCCUAAUACAUGCAAGUCGAGCGAACAGACGAGGAGCUUGCUCCUCUGACGUUAGCGGCGGACGGGUGAGUAACAUGUGGAUAACCUACCUAUAAGACUGGGAUAACUUCGGGAAACCGGAGCUAAUACCGGAUAAUAUAUUGAACCGCAUGGUUCAAUAGUGAAAGACGGUUUUGCUGUCACUUAUAGAUGGAUCCGCGCCGCAUUAGCUAGUUGGUAAGGUAACGGCUUACCAAGGCAACGAUGCGUAGCCGACCUGAGAGGGUGGUCGGCCACACUGGAACUGAGACACGGUCCAGACUCCUACGGGAGGCAGCAGUAGGGAAUCUUACGCAAUGGGCGAAAGCCUGACGGAGCAACGCCGCGUGAGUGAUGAAGGUCUUCGGCUCGUAAAACUCUGUUAUUAGGGAAGAACAAAUGUGUAAGUAACUAUGCACGUAUUGACGGUACCUGGUCAGGAAGCCACGGCUAACUACGUG